Molecule: ribosomal RNA, 321 nt
Filed under: uncultured eukaryote
Lineage: Eukaryota
Description: partial 18S ribosomal RNA
Rfam family: Eukaryotic small subunit ribosomal RNA
Source: RNAcentral
CCCUUAGAUGUUCUGGGCUGCACGCGCGCUACACUGAUGCGUUCAACGAGUUUAUGACCUUGGCCGAUAGGUCUGGGUAAUCUUUGAACGCUGUUCGUGAUUGGGAUAGACCUUUGCAAUUAUGGGUCUUCAACGAGGAAUUCCUAGUAAACGCAAGUCAUCAGCUUGCAUUGAUUACGUCCCUGCCCUUUGUACACACCGCCCGUCGCACCUACCGAUUGAAUGGUCCGGUGAAAUCUCGGGACGGCGGCUUGGUCGCUUGCGUCCGACUGCUGAAACUUGAUUAAACCAUAUCAUUUAGAGGAAGGUGAAGUCGUAACA